RNAcentral lists this long non-coding RNA (785 nucleotides) under Androctonus crassicauda. The record is from RNAcentral. Lineage: Eukaryota; Metazoa; Arthropoda; Arachnida; Scorpiones; Buthidae.
CAUACAUGUAAUUCUAUAGAACAUAAGGACUUUAAUAUUUGAUGUAAAACAGAGUUCAUGUUCCUAAAAAUGGAAUUUGUCAGAUACAAUAUUUUUUAGAUCUAGAUUUUGCACAGCUUCCUACUUCCAUUUUAAUUUGUCUUCAAUUGUAGCACUGUGGGGAGUGAAACUGCCACUGACAAUUAAAAAUUCUAUGGCAAUUCCUCUCAAUUCCAUUUUCUCCUACAAACACCUGAUCGACAAUAGCCUCUGUCUGGCUUACCAUUAGAUUCUUUCAGCACAUUUGGCUAGCUAUAUUGAAAUUUCUUUUUCUUUAGGCUCAUGAACCUUCAAGAUUCUUGGCUGCAAGCAGUACACCUUUCCACUUACUCUAAUUUGUCUUUUCCUGCAAUUUCUUAUGUUUUAGCAGUUCAAAAUCUUUCUCAGUUGAGAGAGAGAUCUCUCCAUCUUCUUCAGGGCUUGCCCCUGGAUCAUCAUCCAGUUGGAUGCUCACUGAAUGUUUUCUUCACUAGACAAACCUCAACCAUUCCUUCCAGAUGUCCCAACCAUCUGAUGCAACUGGUUCUAAUUUCACUUAUCCAUAUCUGUAUCUUUUUAGCUCGUCAGUCAAAGUUUGCUCUGUACAAAUUUUUUAUGUUCCAAGUUCCAAAUCUCCAUCUACUAUUCCAUAUCAUAACCUACAUCCAUUAUUCCAUUAUUUGAUGAGUACAAUAUAUCUAGAAUCUAAUCCUAUAACAAACUAAUCUAUUUAUAUUUAUAAAUUGCCAAUAAAUUUUUAGCAGAAC